UAGUCCACGCCGUAAACGAUGAGUACUAAGUGUUGGGGGUCAAACCUCAGUGCUGCAGUUAACGCAAUAAGUACUCCGCCUGAGUAGUACGUUCGCAAGAAUGAAACUCAAAGGAAUUGACGGGGGCCCGCACAAGCGGUGGAGCAUGUGGUUUAAUUCGAAGCAACGCGAAGAACCUUACCAGGUCUUGACAUACCAAUAAAGGCCUCAGAGAUGAGGAGAUAGAUAUAAUGGAUAC
RNAcentral lists this ribosomal RNA (238 nucleotides) under uncultured bacterium. RNAcentral describes it as "partial 16S ribosomal RNA". It matches the Rfam family "Bacterial small subunit ribosomal RNA", at positions 791 to 1035 of the family's 1533-position model. The record is from RNAcentral.